RNAcentral lists this long non-coding RNA (213 nucleotides) under Elaeis guineensis (African oil palm). RNAcentral describes it as "long non-coding RNA (EGUI_LNC013264)". The record is from RNAcentral. Lineage: Eukaryota; Viridiplantae; Streptophyta; Magnoliopsida; Arecales; Arecaceae.
GAUCAGACUCUACGAAGAGUCCCUUAAAACUGGGCUUAGGUUACCUCUUCAUUUCUUAAUUGUAGAAUUACUUAAUGUAUACCAAAUAAUUCCAUGCUGUAUGGCGCCGAACUUAUGGCAUUUAAUCAUAGCCUUCUUAGCUCAUCAUCUUCUCCUCGGGAUGGAACCGACCAUCCAUCUCUUCAGGACGUGCUUCACAUUAAAGGAGCAUCC